Molecule: ribosomal RNA, 535 nt
Filed under: uncultured Verrucomicrobiota bacterium
Lineage: Bacteria; Pseudomonadati; Verrucomicrobiota
Description: bacterial SSU rRNA
Rfam family: Bacterial small subunit ribosomal RNA
Source: RNAcentral
GUUUGAUCCUGGCUCAAACGAACGCUGGCGGCGUGGAUAAGACAUGCAAGUCGAACGGGAUUACUUAGCUNGCUUUGUAAGUUUAGNGGCGGACGGGUGAGUAACACGUGAGCAACCNGCCCAGAAGAAAGGGAUAGCUCGGGGAAACUCGAAUUAAUACCAUAUGUGAUNCCCUACAGCAUUGUAGGGGANUGAAAGGUGCCUUCGGGUGCCGCUUCUGGAUGGGCUCGCGGCCUAUCAGCUUGAUGGUGAGGUAACGGCUCACCAUGGCAUUGACGGGUAGCUGGUCUGAGAGGACGACCAGUCACACUGGAACUGAGACACGGUCCAGACACCUACGGGUGGCAGCAGUCGAGAAUCAUUCGCAAUGGACGAAAGUCUGACGGUGCGACGCCGCGUGGAGGAUGACGGUCUUCGGAUUUGUAAACUCCUGUCAUCGAAGNNUAAGGCUUAUGUAUUAAUAGUAUGUAAGNUUGAUAGUAUUCGAAGNNGAAGGGACGGCUAACUUUCGUGCCAGCAGCCCGCGGUAAUAAGG